GGCAGGAUCCAGAGUCAUAUUUGUGUCUAAAGUGUAGGAUAUAAUGAUGCCUUGAACCUAAUUGUCCUGCUUGACUACAUGCAUUUAUAUCCACACAUUUAAUGGAUAUAAUAGCUUAUUUACCAGUUUUUAAUGAGCUCAUUUCUACUCAGCUCCAGUCCUUGCAAGGGUGAUGUAUGGGGACAACAGAAUCAGUAUUUCUUCUACUGAACAAACACAGGUAGUGUAGAAAGGUGCUGAGCUUCUGUAGGUAGAAGUACAUUGAAGAUCCUCAUGAUCCAGAAGCAUGAAGAUAAGCUUGAAAGGCACAUUUAAAAGGCUGAUUGUCAAGUUAAGCUCUCAAAACAUCUCUCUCAUUUUUUUUUUGUAUCUGAGGAGUACCAUUUCUUCCAGGAAUGUCUCUGUUGCUUCAUUACUUCUACGUUUGCAUUUCUGGAUUACUCUGUGGAGAAACCAGGCCAUGGUGUGCUUCUUCAUUAAUGAGAUUCACAAGCAGGCUGCAUGCCAUGUCUGUGUUGUUAAGAAGAGAAAUGGGAAGUAUUCACAGAUUAACUGCAGGGAGGUCAAUAAACAGACAUCGUACCAGGAAACAAGUGGAGAACGUGAUAGUCACACCUGCUGCAUUGGAUCUGUCACACAGCACUUUGAAGAUUUGAACUGCACCAUAUUAUGGGAAUCGUUUGGAGUCAUAAAAGAAGGAGUCGGUGUUGCAAGAGGAGGUAUGAUAAUGAAGCCUAAAGUCAGAGACUUAAUGCCUCAGUUCUUUGCUGAAUCAAAGCCUAAGACUGUGAGUUCUUUGAAACAGACUCUCCUCAAUUAGAGGCCUGCUCAGAACAUAAUAGAGCUAUGACAUACCUGGGGCCUCUGAGUCCUCUGUAACAAAUGGUUACGUACAUAAGCUUGAAGACAGCACCAGCUGCAGGAAUGCUACAGGUCCCUGGGAUCUAUCUCCUUCUCUCACGGCUCUUAGGUUUUUUAUUAUCUUCAAAUCUCUAUACCUUACUGCUUGUUCCAUUCCCCAGGUCCUUAAAGCAUUCUUUAAGCUAUAAAUAAAGAAGAUAAAAUUACAGGGUACUUACA
RNAcentral lists this long non-coding RNA (1080 nucleotides) under Junco hyemalis (dark-eyed junco). RNAcentral describes it as "lncRNA (ENSJHYG00000009488.1)". The record is from RNAcentral. Lineage: Eukaryota; Metazoa; Chordata; Aves; Passeriformes; Passerellidae.